GACGAACGCUGGCGGCGUGCUUAACACAUGCCAGUCGAACGGAAAGGCCCUGCUUUUGUGGGGUGCUCGAGUGGCGAACGGGUGGGUAACACGUGAGUAACCUGCCCUUGACUUUGGGAUAACUUCAGGAAACUGGGGCUAAUACCGGAUAGGAGCUCCUGCUGCAUGGUGGGGGUUGGAAAGUUUCGGCGGUUGGGGAUGGACUCGCGGCUUAUCAGCUUGUUGGUGGGGUAGUGGCUUACCAAGGCUUUGACGGGUAGCCGGCCUGAGAGGGUGACCGGCCACAUUGGGACUGAGAUACGGCCCAGACUCCUACGGGAGGCAGCAGUGGGGAAUAUUGCACAAUGGGCGGAAGCCUGAUGCAGCAACGCCGCGUGCGGGAUGACGGCUUUCGGGUUGUAAACCGCUUUCGCCUGUGACGAAGCGUGAGUGACGGUAAUGGGUAAAGAAGCACCGGCUAACUACGUG
RNAcentral lists this ribosomal RNA (468 nucleotides) under uncultured bacterium. RNAcentral's name for it is "partial 16S ribosomal RNA". It matches the Rfam family "Bacterial small subunit ribosomal RNA", at positions 28 to 507 of the family's 1533-position model. The record is from RNAcentral.